This is a non-coding RNA of Mycena latifolia, 89 nucleotides long. Lineage: Eukaryota; Fungi; Basidiomycota; Agaricomycetes; Agaricales; Mycenaceae. The record is from the annotation of a GenBank genome assembly.
GGGCACAUGGUGUAGUUGGUUAUCACGCUCGCUUAGCAUAUCUAUUCUUGUAAUGCGAGAGGUGUUGGGUUCAAUUCCCAAUGUGUCCA